CUGACGGUAGUCGUAUGCUCGUCUCCGAGACUAAGACCAUGCAAGUCCAAGUACACGUCCUUGAACGACGGAAACUGCGAACGGCUCAUUAAAUCAGUUGCGAUCUACUCGGCGUUCCGCGCCGCCGGAUAACCGUAGUAAUUCUAGGGCUAAUACGUGCGAAGCGCCCGAAGCCGCGAGGCGACGGGCGUUCUCGCCGGAUGUAGGAACCGACCCGGGGACCGCCGGGGCAACCCGGCGCCCCCGAGACGGGGCGAACCACGGUGAAAUGACGGAUCGUCGGCCCCGCGCCGGCGACUCGCCGAAUGAGUUUCUGACCUAUCAACUCGAGACGGCGGGGUAGAGGCCCGCCGCGGUAACGACGGGUAACGGGGAAUCAGGGUUCGAUUCCGGAGAGGGAGCCCGAGAAACGGCUACCACUUCCAAGGAAGGCAGCAGGCGCGCAACUUA
Molecule: ribosomal RNA, 450 nt
Filed under: uncultured eukaryote
Lineage: Eukaryota
Description: bacterial SSU rRNA
Rfam family: Eukaryotic small subunit ribosomal RNA
Source: RNAcentral